RNAcentral lists this ribosomal RNA (406 nucleotides) under uncultured bacterium. RNAcentral's name for it is "partial 16S ribosomal RNA". It matches the Rfam family "Bacterial small subunit ribosomal RNA", at positions 29 to 526 of the family's 1533-position model. The record is from RNAcentral.
AUUGAACGCUGGCGGCAGGCCUAACACAUGCAAGUCGAACGAGUGGCGGACGGGUGAGUAAUGUCUGGGAAACUGCCUGCUGGAGGGGGAUAACUACUGGAAACGGUAGCAAAUACCGCAUACCAUCGGAGGUGCCCAGCGGGGCUUAGCUAGUGGGUGGGGUAGAGGCUCUCAUGGGCGACGAUGCCUAGCUGGUCUGAGAGGAUGACCAGGCAGACUGGAAACAUGGCACGGUCCAGACGCCAACGGGAGGCAGCGGAGGGGAAUAUUGCACAAUGGGCGCAAGCCUGAUGCAGCCAUGCCGGGUGUAUGAAGAAGGCCUUGGGGUUGUAAAGUACUUUCAGCGGUGAGGCGUUACGCGCAGAAGAAGCGCCGGCUAACUCCGUGCCAGCAGCCGCGGUAAUAC